ACGCGCGAGAAUCACUUGCCGACUGGCAGUCGACUGCAAUGGCAACCAUUGGCCUGUCGACUGCGCUCCUUGCCGCCGAGGCGGUCGGCGGUCGCCGCGUACGUUCAACCAUUUUUGACCAGUCGCCCUUUAGGACCGGUUCACUCCGCGCUUCCUUCUGAGGUGGCUUGCGUGGUUGACGGCUGCGCUUAGGCGACGUCAGCCGCGCCUUGGACCAGUCGGCCACGGGUGAAUUCUGUGACGUCCGCGUCAGUCACCCAUCGGACCCGUCUUGAAACACGGACCAAGGAGUGCAGCUUGCGCGCAAGUCAUUGACACGAGCGACUACGGUCAACGGCGAAACGAGAGUGCUUUGUGCGUGGCUGCUGUGCCUGCACCACGCUGAUCCUGUCACCGCUGCUGCCGGCGGUGGUGACGGGCGCACAGCGGUGCCGCUGGAUCCGUCGCCGCUGUUCCUGACCACGCGUCCGGAGCAGCGAACGNUCGGACCAGCGGACUCGGAGCGCGCACGCUGCUACCCGAAAGAUGGUGAACUAUGCAUGAGCAGGACGAAGCCAGAGGAAACUCUGGUGGAAGUUCGUAGCGGUGUUGACGUGCAAAUCACUCGCCCGACUUGUGCAUAGGGGCGAAAGACUAAUCGAACCAUUUAGUAGCUGGUUCCUUCCGAAGUUUCCCUCAGGAUAGCUGGCGUUCGCAUGCAGUUUUAUCCGGUAAAGCGAAUGAUCAGAGGUAUUGGGGACGCAAUGUCCUCAUCCUAUUCUCAAACUUUGAAUGGGUAAGAAGGCCGAUUUGCCUUGAGAAAUCGUGCCCAGCCGGAAUGCGUCGAACGGCUAGUGGGCUAGUUUUGGUAAGCAGAACUGACGAUGUGGGAUGAACCGAACGUCAGGUUACGGUGCCCAAUGUUCGGUGCUCAUCAGACACCAUGAAAGGUGUUGGUCGAUAUAGACAGCAGGACGGUGGCCAUGGAAGUUGGAAUCCGCCAAGGAGUGUGUAACAACUCACCUGCCGAAUCGACUAGCCCUGAAAAUGGAUGGCGCUCGAGCGCCGAGCCUGUACCUGACCGCCUGGGCAACGUUGUUGUCGGUCUCGCGCGUGCACUUGCUGCGGACGCUUGAAGGCCAAGGCGUGUAGGAAGAGGUCGCGACGGUGCGCGUUGAAGGUGUCGAGCGAGAGCUCGCCUGGAGCCGCCGUCGGUGCAGAUCUUGGUGGCAGUAGCAAUUAUUCAAGUGAGAACCUUGAAGGCCGAAGUGGAGAAGGGUUCCAUGUGAACAGCAAUUGCACAUGGGUCAGUCGAUCCUGAGAACGAGGCGAAAGCCCAAGCGCAACGGUGUGACGUCGUUCCUGACUUGUUCGCCGUAGCUAGCAGCACGCCGUACCGUUCGAAAGGGAAUCCGGUUGAAAUUCCGGAACCGAGACACGAAGAUGUACACCCGGCAAAAUGUGCUGUCCUCCACCUAACUCGCCCACCAAAAGGAAAAUACUCUUCCGUACCUGCGAAACCGGAGAAGACACUGCUGCCACUGAAUGGAUCUCGAGUCCAGCUCCGUGCGCUAUCACCUGGAGAAAGCUACAAAUACCUUGGCAUACUGGUUAACUCCACUGAGCCGAACAAGACUGCCUUGACGGCUGUCUCAACUACACUACGAAAGAUAGCCGGCGCCCGACUCCGACCGCAACAGAAGGUUGCCCUGAUACGCGAAAACCUAAUACCGCGAUACCUGUACAAGCUGAGCCACCUUAAUCCUGUAAGUGCGGUCACCAGUCAAGUCGACCAACUUGUGCGCCAAACAAUCAAACAAAUCCUACACCUCCCACCGACUGCAAUCACGGACGCCUUCCUCCACCUCCCAGUCCGCCAUGGAGGACUGGGAAUCCCAAAUCUCAACAAUAUAACCUGCAUAAAGGCACUGCGGGCCUUCCUCAAGCUCGCAAACUCGCCAAAGCCGCUUACAAGAAUGAUUGCCGACCAUCCAGUCGCACAACGAACGAUAGCCACGCUUAAGUCACAGUUAGGCGUCGAGACACUAACGUUCAAGACUAUAAACGCCGCCAAACGCAGGCUGGCGAAACGACUAGUGGAGCAACUGCAAAACACCAACCAAGGACGGAAGCUAGCCUUCUUCCUUAAGAGUAAAGUCAGUAAUGCCUGCAUGACUGGAAAGCUCAUGACAGGACACGCUUUCCUUCGGGCAAUACAGUUGCGCACAAACACGGCACCCACAAGAACGGCUCUUCUGCGAGGACGGCGCAGCCAAAUGAGCGAGCAAGGAAAAUGUAGACAUUGCGGCACUGAAACUGGACAACUCGAAACUCUUAUGCACGCUGUGCAGCUAUGCCGCAGUACGCACGCCCUCCGAAUCAUCCGACAUAACACCCUCAUGGGGCGCCUUAAAGAAAUCGCCGAGCGAGAAGGUUUCGUGGUCACACAAGAACCACAUCUGAGACAUGAAGAACGGGUCCUAAAGCCGGACCUCAUUCUACGCCGACAUCACCGGAUAGCCAUCGUGGACAUCGCAGUCCCCUGGGACACUCCAGAGCGGUUUGUGGCAAGCCGGCUUCAUAAGCGCGGCAAAUAUUCCGCACUCAUUGCUCAGCAAAGGACAGCCAACCCUGGUUACGCUGUUACCGUGGAUGCCUUCAUCGUAGGCGCACGGGGACGAUGGGAUGACAAGAACGACAAGCUACUAAAGCUUCUGGGCAUCAAGCUAUCGGAAGGCCAGAAGGAAGCCCUGUGCACACUCAUGCUGAAGCUAACCGGCAGGAUAACCGACCAUUUCCUUACCUCUGCGUGCUGAACCAGGUGCGCGGCAGACCCCACCCCCCCAUUGAAGAAGACACCACCAAUAUCUCACUGACAGUCACCACUACCUCGUCUCCAUAACUAGGACCAAGCAUGAACGCCUAUUAUGUGUUAAUCUGUUGUGAUCGCUUCCUUUACAUGUACGCUCCGCUUAUGUGUUAAUCUGUUGUGAUCGCUUCCUUUACAUGUACGCUCCGCUCAAUGACCAACCUGUCUGAGGCCAACGGCGUAAGCAGGUUAAGGGUCGCCCGCAAUAUGUGUGCCGAUAUUGUGGAACAGUAAAAUUUGAUAGCCAAAUGCGAUGUCAUCUAAUUAGUGACGCGCAUGAAUGGAUCAACAAGAUUCCUACUGUCCCUAUCUACUGUCUAGCGAAACCACAGCCAAGGGAACGGGCUUGGCAGGAUCAGCAGGGAAAGAAGACCCUGUUGAGCUUGACUCUAGUCUGACUCUGUGAACAGACAUUGGAGGUGUAGCACAGGUGGGAGACCGGUGGCCGCUCGCGGUACCGUUCCGACAGUGAAAUACCACUACUUUGAUCGUUUCUUUACUUAUUCGGUGAAGAGGAAGGAACGGUCGCUCGCGUGGCCGUCUAACGGCGCGCGACGACUGCCACUUUUUGUGCAAAGCCCACGGGACGCGUGCCCCGCUGUCGGCGGCACGUCGAGCACCCGUAGCAACGCGAGGUGCCGUCCAGGGCGAUCCGGUCCGAAGACAGUGUCUGGCCGGGAGUUUGACUGGGGCGGUACAUCUGUUAAACGGGAACGCAGGUGUCCCAAGGUGAGCUCAGCGAGGACAGAAAUCUCGCCUGGAGCAAACGGGCAAAAGCCCACUUGAUUUUGAUUUCCAGUACGAAUAGAGACCGCGAAAGCGUGGCCUAUCGAUCCUUUUGAUUUUGCGGAUUCAAUGCAAGAGGGGUCAGAAAAGUUACCACAGGGAUAACUGGCUUGUGGCAGCCAAGCGCCCAUAGCGACGUUGCUUUUUGAUCCUUCGAUGUCGGCUCUUCCUAUCAUUGCGAAGCAGAAUUCGCCAAGCGUUGGAUUGUUCACCCACCAAUAGGGAACGUGAGCUGGGUUUAGACCGUCGUGAGACAGGUUAGUUUUACCCUACUGAUCACCGAUCGUUGCUGUAGUAAUCCUGCUCAGUACGAGAGGAACCGCAGGAUCAGACAUUUGGUUCAUGCGCUUGGUUGAAAGGCCAGUGGCGCGAAGCUACCAUCUGAAAGAUAAUGACUGAACGCCUCUAAGUCAGAAUCUUGCCUAUCGACUGGCGACGAUACGUUGCGU
Trichuris trichiura (human whipworm) is the source of this 4083-nucleotide non-coding RNA. Lineage: Eukaryota; Metazoa; Nematoda; Enoplea; Trichinellida; Trichuridae. The record is from Rfam.